RNAcentral lists this ribosomal RNA (484 nucleotides) under uncultured bacterium. RNAcentral describes it as "partial 16S ribosomal RNA". It matches the Rfam family "Bacterial small subunit ribosomal RNA", at positions 30 to 507 of the family's 1533-position model. The record is from RNAcentral.
AUUGAACGCUGGCGGCAGGCCUAACACAUGCAAGUCGAGCGGAUGAAGGGAGCUUGCUCCUGGAUUCAGCGGCGGACGGGUGAGUAAUGCCUAGGAAUCUGCCUGGUAGUGGGGGAUAACGUCCGGAAACGGGCGCUAAUACCGCAUACGUCCUGAGGGAGAAAGUGGGGGAUCUUCGGACCUCACGCUAUCAGAUGAGCCUAGGUCGGAUUAGCUAGUUGGUGGGGUAAAGGCCUACCAAGGCGACGAUCCGUAACUGGUCUGAGAGGAUGAUCAGACACAAGGGAACUGGAACAGACCACAACCACAUACGGGAGGAGCAAGAGGAAAUUUUUGAAGAAGGAGAAAAGACUUAAUCCCGCCAUGCAGCGUGAGAAAGGAAGGUCUUCGAAUGGUAAGAAAGUUUGAUUAAGGGGGAAGGCAAAUAACUUAAUCCUUUGCUGUUUUACCGUUACCAACGUAAAAAGCACCGGCUAACUUGGUG